RNAcentral lists this long non-coding RNA (13226 nucleotides) under Homo sapiens (human). RNAcentral's name for it is "non-protein coding lnc-ARHGAP26-4:24". The stretch from base 6770 to 6835 matches the Rfam family "mir-1255 microRNA precursor family". Lineage: Eukaryota; Metazoa; Chordata; Mammalia; Primates; Hominidae. The record is from RNAcentral.
AAGCCUCGCUUUUUUGCUGGUAGACGCACACCAUCACAUCCUACAUAAUAUUUAGCUCUGAGGCGUUUCCAGAUGGGAAGUGCGUUUCUGUAUUUUCAUAGCCGUGUUCUCUACGUGAAUGGACUGGCGUGAAGCUGGGGGCUGACGGCUGGCAGGGCAGAACAACUUCCAGUAAAAGAAGGCACUGAGGUUUAAGUGCUACGUGGGAGCAGUUGCCGAUUUUUGCAAUGGGAGGCUGCAUAGAUUCAAGGACUUCCUUGAGUGCUCCAGGAGCUUGUCAUUCCAGAGACAGAGCAGCCCAGAAGUCCUGGGAUUUACACCUCUAGUAGAAACCCUCAACCAGAGAAGGAUGGAAGUCAAUGGGCAGAGUGCUCGGGAGACCUUUACCUGUUUUACCUGAUUACAUCCUCUGAGGUGGGUUGGGAAGCUCCAUUCUGUAUCACCCUCGCUCAAGGACCUGGACUGAAGGAUUUCUGCUUUCAAGAAGAAAAAAAAAAAUAGAAGACAUGUUUACUAAUACACUGGUAAUUAUUUCUAUUCAUAUUUUAUUGGCCAAAGCGAGUCAUAUGGGUAUACAACAUAAAAUGAGGUGCAGAAUUUCAAUCCUAUCAUUUGCUUGGAAGGUGGAGAGUCAUAUUUGGAGAACAUGAGUUCUAUAAUUGUUGGAUGUAACAGUCUAUACAUGUCCACUAAGUCAAGUUUGCUAAUCGUGUUUAAAUAAUCUAUAUCCUUACUCAUGUAUCUGUUCACUUCUUGCAGUUUUGUCAAUCUUAGUUUUAUAUUUUUGAAGCUAUAUUAUGUGUACAAGUUUUAUAAUCAUUGUACUUUCUCAUGAGUUAAACUUUUUAUCAUUAUGAUAAUGCUUUUUGCCUUAAAGUCUACUUUGUCUAAUAUUAAUAUAGAUAACAUUAAUUUUUGUUAAUAUUUAUAUUUUUCCACUUUUUAAUUUCAACAUUAUAAUACAAAUGUUUUAGGUAUGUUUCUUAUAAACAGUAUGCAGAUUGUUAUCCAAUUCAAUCUUUGAUUUUUAAUUGAACUAUUUAAUUUAUUUACAUUUAAUGUAAUUACUGAUAUAUUUGAAUUUAAAUAUACCGUCUUCUUAAGUGUUUUCAAUUGUCUCACAUGCUCUCUGUUCUCUUUAUCCUCACUUUUUGCCUGCUUUUGGAAAAUAUUGUUUUUGCCUCCAUUGUUUUGGAAGUUACAUAUCUUUUUAGUAGUCUUUUAGAGUUUAUCCUAUAGAUCACAGUAUGGGUCUCUGAGUUAGCAAAGGCUAAUAAUGUUAAUUGGCACUUUCAUUUUCUUCCAUAAUAGUACAAGGACCUUAGAACGUUUCAAUUCAUUUACUUCCUCUCCUGAUUUGUAUGCACUUUUAAUAUUUUUAAUUUUUUAAAUCUUCAGCACUGUGUUACAUUGUUUCAUACGGUAUAAUUCAUUUAGACUUCCUCAAAUGGACCUUCGUGCUGGACCUCAUUUCUUUCUGCAUCUAUAUAACCUAUCAUCCUUAAUCAUCUUCCUUCUGCUUAAAGAACAUCCUUUAGUAUUUGAUGCUGGUAAAGAAUCCUGAAAAUGUCUUAAUUUCACUUUUAUUAUUGAAGGCUAUUUUCACUGGACAUAGAAUUCUAAUGUUGACAGUUAUUUUAUUUCAGCACUUGAAAGACAUUUAAAUUCCACUAAUUUCUAGUUUCCAUUGUUUCUAUCAAGAGGUAAGCUAACAGUCUAUUACAUUUUUUCAAGUAAUGACAGCUGCUUGUAAUUUUUUUUUCCCUUUGUCUUUGGUUUUCAUCUGUCUUAUUGUGAUGUACCUAGGUGUGGCUUUUAAAAAUUUCUCCUGCUUGCAGCUCCCAGGGCUUCUGAGAUUUGUGGCUUGUUGUCUUUAAUCAAUUUUGGGAAUUUUUCAACUAUUUUCUCUUCAAAUAUUGAUGCUGCACCAUUCUCUUUCUCUUCUCCUUCUGAAAUUUUAAUUCUCAUUUUAUCUCCAUAUCUCUUACUCUCUGUAGCAUUGCUAUCCUUUUGUCUCUCCAUGUUUCGUCAUGAUGUUGUCUUCUAACCUACUUUCCAGUUCAUCAAUUUUCCCUACAGCUGUGUAUAAUUUUUUGUUAAACCAAGUAAAGAGUAUCCACUGAGCUCUUUGCUUUUGUUAGUAUAUAUUUUAAAUUCUAAAUUGUUCACUGGUUAUUUUUUACAACUUUUUCAUCCUUUUUUAAAGUUUUCAGUUCUCUGCCAAAUUUGUUGAUACUGUCUUUUAUCUCCGUAUGUGUAGUAAACAUAAUUAAUUUAAAGUCCGUAUCUGAUAAAUCCAUUAACUGGAGUUCUGUGGUAUUGUUUCUAUUGUAGUUGUUUCUACUGGAUCUCAUGUUUUCUUAUUUCUUUAUGGGCCUGGUUAUUCUCUUGUGUGCUAAAAUUGUAUAUGAAAAAUUGUUGGUUGAAGUAAAGUAAAACUUAUUGUGUUAUAUUCCUCCUGAGAGUACAGUCAUCCCUCAGUAUCCACAGCAGGAUUGGUUCCAGGACCUACUGCAGAUACCAAAAUCCAUGCAGAUUUCAUUUCCACAAUCAACCCUGUGGAAUCCAUGGAUAUAAAACGUCGACCCUCCAUAUAUAAGUGAGUUUGGCAUCCUGCAACUACUGUCUUUUAUAUUUAUGUUUGGUUGCAGAUGCAGAAUUCACCAAAGCCUAAUCCAGAGCAAGGCCCUAACUCUUCAAUUCUAUGAAGGCUAAGAGAGCUGAGGAAGCUGUAGAAGAAAAACUGCAAGCUAGCAGGGGUUGGUUUAUGAAGUUUAAGGAAAUAAACCAUUCCGUAACAUAAAAGUGUAAGAUAAAGCAGCAAGUGCUGAUGUAGAAGCUGCAGCAAAUUAUUCAGAAGAUCUAGCUGAGAUCAUGGAUGGCGGUGGUUACACUAAACAACAGAGUUCCAGGGUAGACAAACAGCCUUCUAUUGGAAUAAGAUGCCAUCUAGGACUUUCAUAGCUAGAGAAGAGUGGGCUGACUAUAUUUAUUUUAAAAAUCCAUGUAUAGGCUGGGCGCAGUGGCUCACGCCUGUAAUCCCAGCAGCACUUUAGGAGGCUGAGGCAGGUGGGUCACCUGAGGUCAGGAGUUUGAGACCAGCCUGGCCAACAUGGUGAAACCCUGUCUCUACUAAAACUAAAAAAAUUAGCUGGCAUGGUGGCAGGCACCUGUAAUCCCAGCUACUCAGGAGGCUGAGGCAGGAGAAUUGCUUGAACCUGGGAGGCGGAGGUUGUAGUAAGCCGAGAUCGCGCCAUUGCACUCCAGCCUGGAUGACAAGAGCGAAAUUCUGUCCAAAAAAAAAAAAAAAAUCCAUGUAUAAAUGAGCCAUACAGUUCAAACCCAUGUUGUUCAAGGGUCAACUGUAUUUAUAUUUGCUUUUGCAAGAUACCUGGGGAUGUGAGGACCUGGGAUCACCUUUAUCCAAUUUGAAGAAUUAAGCUAAUUGGAUCUCAGCUGAGGCCCCACAAAAUCUCAUCUACUUCCAUCCAAGUCAUCCUGUCUUUUCUCUUUUUUAAAUUUUUUUGGAGGUGGGGUCUCACUGUGCUGCCCAGGCUGGACAACAUAGGUCCAGUGGCACAAACAUAGGUCACUGCAGCCUUGCACUCUUGGGCUGAAGGGAUCUUCCCAAGUAGCUGGGGCUACAAGCACAUGCCACCAUGCUACCAUGCUGCGCUAAUUUUUUCAUUCAGUCUUAAGAUGAAGACUUUCAGGGUCCUAGCCUGCUAUGGGGAGUUAUAUGUCUACCCUCUCCUUUGGUGAGCACCGGAUUCCAACUUGUGUUUAUGUGGCCACACAAAGCUGCCCAGGUGCUGCUUAGUCUCUUCAGUUCUUUUUUUUUUUUUGAGAGGGAGUCUCACUCUGCACUGUGUCGCCCGUGCUGGAGUGCAGUGGCAUGAUCUCGGCUCACUGCAACGUCUGCCUCAUAGGUUCAAGCUCCUCCGCCUCCUGGGAGCCUGGGUGAUUCUCCUGCCUCAGCCUCCCGAGUAGCUGAGAUUAUAGGCACCCGCCACCACACCCAGCUAAUUUUUCUUUUGUAUUUUAAUAGAGAUGGGGUUUCACCAUGUUGGUCAGGCUGGUCUCAAACCCUAACCUCAAAUGAUCCACCUGCCUUGGCCUCCCAAUGUGCUGGGAUUACAGGUGUGAGCCACCACACCCGGCCAUCUCUCCAGUUCUUUGUUGUCGUUUCCAGAAGCAGCAAAUGUCCCAAGGGGAAAAGAGGCCCAGUUAUUGGGCUUGCCUCCUUGAAUACCCAUCUUUCUCCAGCUCUUCAUUGGUGAUUCUUCAUUAUCUUUUUAAGUCUGAUGUUUUCAAGCACAUUUUAUUUUAAUUUUUUCCCACUUUUCUAAUUGUUCUCAGCAGGACAGUAGGUCUGAAUUUAGUCUGCUAUUACCAGAUGGUAGGAAAUAGACAGGUAUGCUUCAUUUUGUCAUAGUUUGCUUUACUACACUGCAGAUAUUAUAUUUUUUACAAAUUGGAGGUUCGUGGUAACCCUGCAUUGAAGAAGCCUUUAGGUGCCAUUUUUCCAACAGCAUGUGCUCACUUUUUGUUUCUGGGUCAUAUUUUGAUAAUUCUCAUAAUAUCUCAGACUUUUUCAUUAUUAUUAUAUUUGUUAUGGUAAUCUAUGAUCAGUGAUCUUUGAGAUUACUCUUGUAAUCAUUUUGGGGUGCCAUAAACUGUGCUCAUAUAAGAUGGUGAAGUUCAUUGAUAAAUGUUGUGUGUUCUGACUUCUCCACCAAUCAGCCAUUUCCCAUCUUUUACAUUCUUUUCAGUCCUCCUUAUUCCCUGAGACACAACAAUAUUGAAAUUAGACUAAUCAAUAACCCUACAAUGUCCUCUAAGUGUUCAAGUGAAAGCAAGGGUGGCACAUCCCACACUUUAAAUCGAAAGCUAAAAAUGAUUAAGCUCAGUGAGGAAUGCAUGAGGAAAAGCCAAGAGAGGCCAAAAUAGAGGGCUUUUGUGCCAAACAGGUAGCCAAGUUGUGAAUGGAAAGGAAAAGUUCUUGAAGGAAAUUAAAAGCACUACUCCAGUGAACACACAAAUGAUAAGAGAGUAAAACAGCCUUAUUGCUGAUAUGGAGAAAGUUUGAGUGGUCUGGAUAGAAGAUCAAACCAGCAACAACAUUCCUUUAAGUUAAAGCCUAAUCCAGAGCAAGGCCCUAACUCGCUUCAAUUCAAUGAAGGCUGAGAGAGGUAAGGAAGCUACAGAAGAAAAAUUAGAAGCUAGCAGAGGUUGGUUCAUGAAAUUUAAGGACAUAAACCAUUUCCACAACAUAAAGUGCAAGGUGAAGCAGCAAGCGCUCAUGUAGAAGCUGCAGCAAGUUAUCCAGAAAAUCUAGCUAAGAUUAUGGAUGGUGGUGGCUACACUAAACAAUAGAAUUUCAAUGUAGACAAAACAUCUAUCAGAAUAAGAUGCCAUCUAAGACUUUCAUAGCUAAAGAGGAGAAAGCAAUGCCUGGCUUCAACGCUUCAAGGGACAGGCUGACUGUCUUAUUAGGGGCUAAUGCAACUGGUGGCUUUAAGCUGAAGCCAAUUGCUCAUUUUCCAUACAGAAAAUCUUUGGACCCUUACAAAUUAUGCUAAACCCAGGCCAGACACAGUGGCUCAUGCCUGUAAUUCUAGCACUUUGGGAGGUCGAGGCAGGCAGAUCACUUGAGCUCAGGAGUUCGAGACUGGCCUGGGCAACAGGGUGAAACCCCAUCUCUACAAAAAAAUACAAAAACUAGCCAGGUGUGGUGAAGUGUGCCUGCAGUCCCAGCUACUCAGGAGGGUGAGGCAGGAGAAUUUCUUGAGCCUGGAGGCUGAGGUUGCCGUGAGUCAAGAUCACGCCAUUGCACUCCAGCCUGGGUGACAGGAGUGAAACCCUGUCUCAAAACAAAGAAUUGUGCUAAAUCUAUUCUGCCUGUGCUCUAUAAAUGAAAUAACAAAGCCUGAAUGACAGCACAUCUGUUUAUGGCAUGUUUACUGAAUAUUUUAAGCCUACCGUUGAGACUUACUCCUCCAGGGAAAAAAAGGGAUUCCUUUCAAAAUAUUACUUCUUGUUGGCAAAUGCAUCUAGUAACUCAAAAGCUCUGACAGAGAUGUACAAGGAGAGUAAUAUUUUCAUGCUUUUAACACAACAUCCAUUCUGCAGUCCAUGGAUCAAGAAGUCAUUUCAACUUUCAAGUCCUAUUACUUAAGAAAUGCAUUUUUUAAGGCUAUAGUUGUCAUAGAUAGUGAUUUCUCUGAUGGAUCUGGGCAAAAUCAAUUGAAAACCCUCUGCAAAGAAUUUACCAUUUUAGAUGCCCUUAAGUACAUUCACGAUUCAUGGGAGGAGGUCAGAAUAUCAACAUUAGCAGGAGUUUGGAAGAAGUUGAUUCUAACCCUCACGGAUGACUUAGAGGAGUUCAAGACUUCACUAGAGGAAGUCACUGCGGAGGUGCUGGAAACAGAAAACUAGAAUUAGAAGUGGAGCCUGAAAAUGUGCCUGAAUUGCUUCAAUCUUGUAACGGUUAAUACUGAGUGUUCACUUGAUUGGAUUGAAGGAUGCAAAGUAUUGUUCCUGGGUGUGUCUGUGUGAGCUUCCCUAGUUUUGAGGUUUUGGGACUUGGACUGGUUUCCUUGCUCCUCAGGUUGCAGAUGGCCUAUUGUGGCACUUCGCCUUGUGAUCAUGUGAGUCAGUACUCCUUAAUAAACUCCCGUUCAUUUAUACAUCUAUCCUAUAAGUUCUGCCUCUCUAGAGAACCCUAAUACAAAUUUCAUGAUAAAACUUGAACGAAAGAGGAGCUGCUUCUUAUGGAUGAGCAAAGAAAGUGAUUUCUUGAGAUGGACUCUACUCCUAGUAGAGAUGCUGUGAACAUUGUUGAAAUGACAAUAAAGGAUUUAGAAUAUUCCGUAAACUUAGUUAAUACAGAAGCAGCAGCAUUUGAGAGGACUGACUCCACUUUUGAAAGAAGUUCUACUGUUAUUAAAUGCUACCAAAUAUGGUACAGAGAAAUAUUUUGUGAAAGGAAGAGUCCAUUGACAUGGCAAGCUUCAUUACUGUCAUAUUUUAAUAACUUGCCACAGCUACCUCAAACUUCAGCAACCACCAGUCUGAUCAGUCAGUAACCAUCAAUAUCGAGGCAAGACCUUCCACCAGGAAAAAGAUUAUAACUCACUGAAGGCUCAGACGAUCAUUACUAUUUUUUUAGCAGCAAAGUAUUUUUAAUUGAGGUAUGUACAUUUUUAGACAUAAUGCUCUUGCACACUUACUAGACUACAGCAUACUGUCAACAUAACUUUUAUAGGCACUGGGAACCAAAAAUUUGUAUGAUUCACUUUGUUGCAAUACUUGCCUUACUGCGGCAGUCUGGAACCAAACCCACAAUAUCUCCAAGGUCCACCUGCAAAUGCAGGCAGUGGGCCAGGUAUACAUGCAUACAUAUGCCUUAUGUGAGGGGUGGGCACUGAGGUUAACUAGAAAGCAUGAGCCUAUUUUUGCCUUGUGGUAAUAAGGGCCUCAUAUUGCCAAAUUUUUCCAUUUUUUUCAAAAGAAGUAGGAAAGGAAAUGCAGGCUUUUAAAAUGUGAAAUCCCAAUUUUCAAUUGUUGGUUCAAAAAAAACUUAAAUCUCAACUAGCCAAAUAAAAUGCAUCUGGGGUCCACACCCAGCUACCCUAUAGGAUACUAAUUUAAAAUAUCUGGACUAUAGUCUAUAUUGAUGAGAGAAGUGGGGUGAAACUUGGCAUUCCCUUGCCAUUAACUUCUAGCCUCCCAGUAGUCCAGGCUGCCUUGAAUAAACACCAGACCAUCAUACAAAACAGAGUUUUUAUCUUAUUUAUUUAUUUAUGAGUUGGGUGUCUUGCUGCAUUACUCAGGAUGGAGUGCAGUGGCACAAUCAUAGUUCACUGAGGCCACGAACUGCUGUGCUCAAGUGAUCCUCUCACCUCAGCCUCCUGAGUAGCUGGGACUACAGGUGUAUGCCACCACAUAAGGCUAAUUUUAAUUUGUUUUUGAGAGACAGAGUCUUGCUAUGUUGCCCAGGCUGGUCUUAAACUCCUGGCCUCAAGCAAUCUUUCCACCUUGGCCUCUGAAAGUACUAGGAUUAUAGAAGUGAGCCGCUAUGCUUGACCAAAACACAGUUUUUAAAUCAAUUUAUGUCUUUACUGAAAUCUCUUAAAGAUGCCAAAGGGUGGGGUUUGGGUUCCAUUCAUAACACCAACAUUUCUGAAGAAUCCUCUUCUCUUGUCUCUUUCUCAAGUCCUCCUCAUGACAUCUGUGUUAGUCCGUUCUCACACUGCUAUGAAGGACUGCCUGAGACUGGGUAAUUUAUAAAAGAAAGAGGUUUUAAUUGACUCACAGUUCCACAGGGGUGGGAAGGCCUCAGGCGGAAGGGGAAGCAACCACAUCCUUCUUCACAUAGCGGCAGGAAGGAGAAGUGCCAAGCAAAGGGGAAAAGCCUUUCAUAAACCCAUCAGGUCUCAUGAGAACUCAAGAAGAGCAUGGGGAUAUGUGGAGGAAAAGUUAAAUCUUAAAUUUGAACUCAAUUGAAUGUGGACACAAACAAUGGUCACCAAGUCCCAGAACAGGUUGCAUGAGCCCCUUGAGGCGUUCAUCCAGACGGUUUUGGAGAAAUCUGUUCCUGUAUGUUAGUUAUUGAAAAACAACAAACAAUCAUAAAAACAAGUUGACCUUUUUGUGUUCCUUGAGUCCAGUCAUGAAGGGCCCUCGUGACUGGGCCUCAUGCCAAAUAAGUCGUUACAAAAAGAACUAGGGUCCCAUACCACGCCAAAGCUUCAUGAGACCUCUCCUCAUCUGUGCAUGGAUGAGCGGUCAACUCUGGAGCCCAGGCUGUUGCUUCCCUGUCUGGUGAUGAAUCCUCUAUAGUCUGGUAAGUGUAGUGGCCGACUCUGGAGCCCAGGCUGUUGCUUCUGGUCUGGUGAUGAAUCCUCCAUCGUCUGGUGAGUGUGUGUGUAUAUAUAUAUAGUCUAUAUUGAUGGGAGAAGUGGGGUGAAAGUUGGCAUGCCCUUGCCAUUAACUUCUAGCCUCCCAGUAGUCCAGGCUAUAUAUAUAUAUCUUCUCCCUUUUCCCCUUCCCAUUGCAAUUUGCUUGUAUCAUUUGCUUAUUAUAUCUGCAUUGCCAUUUACAUGGGAUAAAGGUUGUUUACCCUUGAAGGUAUUGCAUGUGUGUCUUUUCUUUUCCCUUUGUGCAUCUCCCUCAUAGAAAAGAGUAACCGCCCCCAUGAUUCAAUUGCCUACCACUGGGUCCCUCCCACAACACGUGGGGAUUAUAGGAACUACAAUUCAAGAUGAGAUUUGGGUGGGGACACAGCCAAACCAUAUCAACAGCCCAGCAGCUACUUCAGUCCUCCUUAAUUUAUCUCUUGAAUUCUCCCAAACCCAGCUCAUCCCUGGCUUGUUUCUCUUAUUCUUUCUCUCGCCUUCUGAUCCAUUCUGCUUUCGUUAGUAUGUAACUCCCUGCCUUCUCUUAGGUAGACCCAUCAACCCAUCCUACCCAUGGUACUGCACAAUUCAGAAUCCUUUCCCAAAUUUUCCCUUAUUAUGCACAAGAAAUACUCCAGGGCCAGGUGCAAUGGCUCACGCCUGUAAUCCCAGAACUUUGGAAGGCUGAGGCAGGAGGAUCGCUUGAGCCCAAGAGUUCAAGGCUGUAGUUAGUGAUGUUGGUGCCACUGCACUCCAGCCUAGGCAACACAACAAGACACUAUCUCAAUUAAAAGAAAAAAAAAGAAAAAAGAAAAAGAAAUACUCCAGAACUUGGCUAGUGAAGACUAAUUCCUCCUUCACAGGAAGGAAGUGGGGGCAGGGGAAAAUGAUGCUGUAAAUACUCUAAAAUAUGUAUUUUUUCCUGUCCCAUCAGCUAUGCCAUCUGGGAUGGGGUGACGCCUGGAUGAGAUGUCAUUUUAAAGGACAUUUCUGGGACAUGCUGGCAUCAAGCUAUGAAAAGAAAACAUUUGGAAGAUCACUGAUUCCUUCAUGGAGAGGCUGGCUUGGGAAUAGAUGACGUGUCAAAGAUUGACAUCAACCUUGAGUGCUUAUUUGUGGACUUGAGAUACAGAUAAAAAAAAAAAAAAAAAAACCUCCCUAGAGUGAGGGCUACUUGGGAUACAUGCUAUAUCCCAAGGAGUUCUCAGUUUGAGGUCAGCCCCAGCUCUACAACUCACCAGGAGAGUGCGCGAGGAUGAGGGAGAGACAGCCUGCUCUGGUUCUCUUCAAGGUGACAAUGACACCUGUUGACAGAUGAGAAUUCCAGCCAGGAAUACAGAUUUAGGAAUCAUGUUUCUCACUCUCAUGAUGACAUAGAAGAGAUGCGUCUGAAUCUUUCUGCCAGUGUGUUAAAGUUAUUCUGAUAUUGACUGUAGUUCUGAGCUUUGUCUCUAUCCCACCAAACCACUAACUUCUGGAAAUUACUUGUAGACCAAGAUGGGAGGACUCCGUGUGUGGCUCCCUCUCUUCAUGUGACAAAGAAACUUCCUAAAAUACUAAAAGCUAAAGGAGAUUGUUAUCUAAGCUUGAGAUGGAAGGUUGCCAGCGGAAACUUGGAGGAUCACAGCCAGUCGCCUGGGAUUGACCACAGGGAGUGGCAGAGGCAGAAAGCAAAAGACCAGUUGCAAUUAUCCAGAAUCCUGAAUUGAGCCUGUGUUCCCAGUUCCUAGAAACCCUCAAGGUUAUUGGUUUCCUCCUCGCUUAAUAGACCAGUGGAAGAAAUCUACCUCCAGUUCUAUCUUCACAUGAGCAACUGUUUACAGUUUACAAUAUUACUCUGAAAAUCAGUUCUUUUCAAGUUUUAUCUAACACCCACCAGAAGAAACAGAAGAUUAUGAAAAUGGAAUUUGUCAAAGUUCCUCUCCCAACAAUAUGAUAUUUAAUUUUGCUAACAUUUUUUUUUGAACACUUACUAUAUUGCAGACAAUGGUCUAAGUAAAGCAUUUUAUGUGCAUCCUAUCAUGUCAUCAUCACACAGCCCUGUGAGGUAGAUACUAUUAUUAUUAACCACAUUUCACAUUCAAAAAAACUGAGGCUUAGAGAGACUAAGUAAAUUGUCCAAGGUCACACAGCCAUGAAGUGGCAGAGCUGUGGUUAAAACCUAUGUCUGUCUGAUGUUUAAGAUUUUGCUGUUAGCAUUACUUUGAAAUGACAAUAUGAGGGCAUUUUAUGUAUUUUUUUUGCCCCAAUAUGAUCUGCAGAAACUAUGUAUUUUAAGUACUACAUUUCUUUUAUUUACCAAAUUAUUGUCAGAUAAGAAACCGAAAUAAAAGUUUACAGGGUCUAGGAUUCCUCCAUAAUGAAUGAACUUUGGGGUAUUUCAGUGACAAAUUGGCUUUAACGCGAUCAAAUUCCAUCCUACAAUGAAAGUGUGUUAGUUUGUGGUUUCAAGUUUAAAAACAGCACUGUAUUGUCUUCCAGAAAUAUAUAAAUAGAAAUUCAAGAAGUAUUUCAAUGAAUACAGAUAAAAUUAGUUUUGUUAGAACAUCAAAUAUGUGGGUUUCAUUUCUUAGCUCAGUUUAGAAACUGUAAUUUCAAUUUUUUUUAGCAGCUGUGGUAAAUUUUGAGAUUUGAAAUUUCAUAUAAUAUAAAUCCUCAUUUAUUGAGCAUUUAAAUUAUAUGCCCAACAAUUUACUGUGUACAUUACUUCACUUGUUCUUAACUAUAACUCUACAAAAUAUUAUUGUCCUUGAUUUAUAGAUGAAGAUAUUGAGACUCAGUUAAGUAACUUGCUUGAAAUUCAAAAACGUUAACUGUGGAAGGCAGUAUUUGAACCCAGUGUUCAAAACCCCAUGCUCUUUUUAUUAUAUGACCUUAUUUCCUAUUCAGUCUUCAGAAGAUAUAUUGUCUUAUUAGAUUAUUCUCGUUCUCUAAAUAAGUGACCUUGGGCAACUAUCUUUUUCCCUGGUAUUUUCCCCUGCCUUUAAAACAAUGUGAUCAAACUGGAAGUUUUUCACGAUCUCUCUUAGCCCUAAAGCUCCUUGGUUCUGUAAUUCCACCAAUAGCCCAUUUCAAAAAUAAUUCUACAGUAAUCAGUGGGACUCCUGUUUUUCCCAUCUUUUUUUUUUUUGAAACAGAAAAUUGAAACUUUUAAAUUAGUUUAGUAAAUACAUCUACUAGUUUUUUUCUUUUAUAGUCAUGGUUAUAUUAUUUGGUCCUUCUUAGUUGCAACAUGUUUCCUUGCUGUCAAUUUAUAAUACCUCUCAUCAACAAUAGCCUGAAGAAAUAGAUUUGAAUUGCUUUCCCUAAUUUAUAGCUGGAAAACUAGGCUACGCUGGUAUCUUAAAUUGACUUUCCUGAGGUCACGGGCACUCAGUGCCAAGAGGAGUUGGUACCUACGCAUUUGAAAUUUCUGGAUUUCUGGUCUUACUCUGUACUUAGUCACUCUUUUCUUUCAUUUGGCCCUAUGGUGGGCAAACUACAGCCUACAGGCCAAUUCCAGCCUACCAUCUGUUUUUGUAUGGUCCAUGAACUAAGAAUGGUUAUCACAUUUUAAAAUGGUGGGAAAAAAAGACUAUUUUGUGACAUAAAAAUUAUAUGAAAUCCAAAUUUCAGUGUCUAUAAAUUUUGUUGGAAUAUAGUUACCACACUCAUUCUUUUAUGCACUGUUUUUGGCUGGUUUUCUGCCUCAACAGCAGAGUUGAGUAGGUGCAACCAAGACUGUAUGGCCUACAAAGCCUAAAAGUUUGUUAUAGAAAAGUUUGCUGACCAACUCUAUUGGUUGCUUAGUAUUGCUAGGCACUCUGCAAGUCACAGGGAACACAGCAAACUAGACACAUGACUGCCUUGGGCUUAAGAAGAGGUUUCUAAACUUUUGAAUAAAAAACAAAACAAACAACAAACAAAGUUGGAGGGACAUAAAACUUCCAAAUAUUAAUUUUGCCAGUGGGGUUUGUUUGUUUUUUUGUUUGAGAUGGAGUCUUGCUCUGUCACCCAGGCUGGAGUGCAAUGGCGCGAUCUCGGCUCACUGCAACCUCUGCUUCCUGGGUUCGAGCAAUUUUCUUGUCUCAGCUUCCAGAGUAGCUGGGAUUACAGGCACCCGCCACCACGCUUGGCUAAUUUUUUUGUAUUUUUAGCAGAGACGGGUCUGGUCUCGAACUCCCGACCUCAGGUGAUUCGCCCAGCUCCUGGGCGUGAGCCCCAGUGGGUAUUUCUUAAAAACACAGCUACUAUUUUCACUCAUCAUUUUAUUUAAAAAAGGAGUAUGUUAAUACAAAAAAGUAUAUUAAUGCCAAAUUUGUAGGAAGAACAUAAUCUCAAAAAGCA